This 84-nucleotide transfer RNA is filed under the name Lachnospiraceae bacterium NK3A20. RNAcentral describes it as "rumen bacterium NK3A20 tRNA". It matches the Rfam family "tRNA". From Rfam's summary of the family: Transfer RNA (tRNA) molecules are approximately 80 nucleotides in length. Their secondary structure includes four short double-helical elements and three loops (D, anti-codon, and T loops). The record is from Rfam by way of RNAcentral. Lineage: Bacteria; Bacillati; Bacillota; Clostridia; Lachnospirales; Lachnospiraceae.
GCGGAAGUGUCGGAAUUGGUAGACGAGCAAGAUUAAGGUUCUUGUGACUGUAAGGCCGUGAGGGUUCAAGUCCCUUCUUCCGCA